GGUUCGAUCCUGGCUCAGGUGAACGCUGGCGGGAUGCUUUACAUGCAAGUCGGGCGCGGCAGCACGGACUUCGGUCUGGCGAGUGGCGAACGGGUGAGUAAUGUAUCGGAACGUGCCUAGUAGCGGGGGAUAACCGCGAAAGCGUAGCUAAUACCGCAUACGCCCUUCGGGGGAAAGCGGGGACCUUCGGGCCUCGCACUAUUAAGAGCGGCCGAUAUCGGAUUAGCUAGUUGGUGGGGUAACGGCUCACCAAGGCGACGAUCCGUAGCUGAACUGAGAAGGACGACCAACCACACUGGGACUGAGACGGCCAGACUCCUGCAGGAGGCAGCAGUGGGGAAUUUUGGACAAUGGGGAAACCCUGAUCCAGCCAUCCCGCGUGUGCGAUGAAGGCCUUCGGGUUGUAAAGCAUUUUUGGCGGGAAAAGAAACGGCACGGGAUAAUGCCCCGUGCACAGCUGACGGUACCUGCAGAAUAAGCACCGGCUAACUACGUGCCAGCAGCCGCGGUAAUACGUAGGGUGCAAGCGUUAAUCGGAAUUACUGGGCGUAAAGCG
Molecule: unclassified non-coding RNA, 556 nt
Filed under: uncultured Bordetella sp.
Lineage: Bacteria; Pseudomonadati; Pseudomonadota; Betaproteobacteria; Burkholderiales; Alcaligenaceae
Description: partial 16S-23S ribosomal RNA intergenic spacer
Rfam family: Bacterial small subunit ribosomal RNA
Source: RNAcentral